AAUAAAGAAGAAAAACUGUUGGACUACCCUAAUUAAACCCAGCCGCUUGGCUGUUGGGUUUAAGAGGCUGGUGAGUUGGGAAUAGUAAAAUACUAUACUAAUACACUAGUAAAUGAAAACAUUAUUAAAUGAAAAAUCUAGGAAGUUUAAACGUAGAAAAAGUAAUGGUUUCAAAAUUGUUCUAUCAAAAAAAAGGGAUAAAUAAAAGGGAACAAAAAAAAGAAAAUGAAAAAAAAACAAAAGUAAACACAGACUCAAAGAGUCAUCGUCCUCAGCUAGCUUUCUCGCCCUCUCUUCUCCCAAUCUCACUCACAAACCUCCCUCUCAAUCGCUCUCCCUAUCGCUCUCAAACCUAACCUCAA
This 362-nucleotide long non-coding RNA is filed under the name Lathyrus oleraceus (garden pea). RNAcentral describes it as "Pisum sativum (pea) long non-coding RNA (PSAT_LNC002320)". Lineage: Eukaryota; Viridiplantae; Streptophyta; Magnoliopsida; Fabales; Fabaceae. The record is from RNAcentral.